RNAcentral lists this transfer RNA (73 nucleotides) under Pseudomonadota bacterium. RNAcentral's name for it is "tRNA-Arg". It matches the Rfam family "tRNA". Rfam says of the family: Transfer RNA (tRNA) molecules are approximately 80 nucleotides in length. Their secondary structure includes four short double-helical elements and three loops (D, anti-codon, and T loops). Further hydrogen bonds mediate the characteristic L-shaped molecular structure. tRNAs have two regions of fundamental functional importance: the anti-codon, which is responsible for specific mRNA codon recognition, and the 3' end, to which the tRNAs corresponding amino acid is attached (by aminoacyl-tRNA synthetases). tRNAs cope with the degeneracy of the genetic code in two manners: having more than one tRNA (with a specific anti-codon) for a particular amino acid; and 'wobble' base-pairing, i.e. permitting non-standard base-pairing at the 3rd anti-codon position. The record is from RNAcentral. Lineage: Bacteria; Pseudomonadati; Pseudomonadota. RNAcentral also lists the same sequence under 4 other names.
GCCCCAGUAGCUCAAUGGACAGAGCAGUAGCCUUCUAAGCUAACGGUUGUGGGUUCGAAUCCCGCCUGGGGCG